AACCUGUGAUGAGGGCACUUUCUUAAUAAGUCCUUGAAUCUUUCCUAAGUUUCGUACAAACUCUCUUGAUCAUGGUGGACAAGGGUCAUUAUCUCAUUGCACAAUUUU
RNAcentral lists this small nucleolar RNA (108 nucleotides) under Jatropha curcas. RNAcentral describes it as "Plant small nucleolar RNA R71". The record is from Rfam by way of RNAcentral. Lineage: Eukaryota; Viridiplantae; Streptophyta; Magnoliopsida; Malpighiales; Euphorbiaceae.